GAUGAACGCUGGCGGCGUGCUUAACACAUGCAAGUCGAACGAAGCACUUUAUUUGAUUUCCUUCGGGACUGAUUAUUUUGUGACUGAGUGGCGGACGGGUGAGUAACGCGUGGGUAACCUGCCUUGUACAGGGGGAUAACAGUUGGAAACGGCUGCUAAUACCGCAUAAGCGCACAGCAUCGCAUGAUGCAGUGUGAAAAACUCCGGUGGUAUAAGAUGGACCCGCGUUGGAUUAGCUAGUUGGUGAGGUAACGGCCCACCAAGGCGACGAUCCAUAGCCGACCUGAGAGGGUGACCGGCCGCAUUGGGACUGAGACACGACCCAAACUCCUACGGGAGGCAGCAGUGGGGAAUAUUGCACAAUGGGCGAAAGCCUGAUGCAGCGACGCCGCGUGAGCGAAGAAAUAUUUCGGUAUGUAAAGCUCUAUCAGCAGGGAAGAUAAUGACGGUACCUGACUAAGAAGCACCGGCUAAAUACGUG
RNAcentral lists this ribosomal RNA (481 nucleotides) under uncultured bacterium. RNAcentral's name for it is "partial 16S ribosomal RNA". It matches the Rfam family "Bacterial small subunit ribosomal RNA", at positions 28 to 507 of the family's 1533-position model. The record is from RNAcentral.